UUCCGGUUGAUCCUGCCGGACCCCACUGCUAUCGGGGUGGGACUAAAACAUGCGAGUCGAGCGCCUUCAAGCUAUGGUGAAGGCGCGGCGAACGGCUCAGUAACACGUGGCUAACCUACCCUUUGGACGGGGACAACCCCGGGAAACUGGGCCUAAUCCCCGAUAGAUGAGAAGUCCUGGAAUGGUUUCUCAUCUAAAAGGUGUUUAGAGCAUGCUUCUAGGCGUCGCCAAAGGAUGGGGCCGCGGCCGAUCAGGUUGUUGGUGAGGUAACGGCUCACCAAGCCUAUAACCGGUACGGGCCGUGAGAGCGGGAGCCCGGAGAUGGGCACUGAGAUAAGGGCCCAGGCCCUACGGGGCGCAGCAGUUGCGAAAACUCCGCAAUGCGCGAAAGCGUGACGGGGCUACCCCGAGUGCCGUCCGCUGAGGACGGCUUUUCCACGGUGUAAGGAGCCGUGGGAAUAAGGAGAGGGCAAGUCUGGUGUCAGCCGCCGCGGUAAUACCAGCUCUCCGAGUGGUAGGGAUGAUUAUUGGGCUUAAAGCGUCCGUAGCCGGCCCGGCAAGUCUUCCGUUAAAUCCAACGAUUCAAUCGUUGGACUGCAGGAGAUACUGUUGGGCUAGGAGGCGGGAGAGGCCGACGGUAUUCUCGGGGUAGGGGUAAAAUCCUAUAAUCCCGGGAGGACCACCAGUGGCGAAGGCGGUCGGCUAGAACGCGCUCGACGGUGAGGGACGAAAGCUGGGGGAGCGAACCGGAUUAGAUACCCGGGUAGUCCCAGCUGUAAACGAUGCGGGCUAGGUGUUGGGGCGGCUACGGGCCGCUUCAGUGCCGCAGGGAAACCGUUAAGCCCGCCGCCUGGGG
Molecule: ribosomal RNA, 856 nt
Filed under: uncultured archaeon
Lineage: Archaea
Description: bacterial SSU rRNA
Rfam family: Archaeal small subunit ribosomal RNA
Source: RNAcentral